UACGUAGGGCGCAAGCGUUGUCCGGAAUUAUUGGGCGUAAAGAGCUCGUAGGCGGUUUGUCGCGUCUGUCGUGAAAGCCCACGGCUUAACUGUGGGUCUGCGGUGGAUACGGGCAGACUAGAGUGCGGUAGGGGAGAUCGGAAUUCCUGGUGUAGCGGUGAAAUGCGCAGAUAUCAGGAGGAACACCGGUGGCGAAGGCGGAUCUCUGGGCCGUAACUGACGCUGAGGAGCGAAAGCAUGGGGAGCGAACAGG
RNAcentral lists this ribosomal RNA (253 nucleotides) under uncultured bacterium. RNAcentral's name for it is "partial 16S ribosomal RNA". It matches the Rfam family "Bacterial small subunit ribosomal RNA", at positions 524 to 776 of the family's 1533-position model. The record is from RNAcentral.